RNAcentral lists this ribosomal RNA (447 nucleotides) under uncultured bacterium. Its description in RNAcentral is "partial 16S ribosomal RNA". It matches the Rfam family "Bacterial small subunit ribosomal RNA", at positions 29 to 523 of the family's 1533-position model. The record is from RNAcentral.
AGCGAACGCUGGCGGCAGGCCUAACACAUGCAAGUCGAGCGCCCAGCAAUGGGAGCGGCAGACGGGUGAGUAACGCGUGGGGAUGUGCCCGAUGGUGCGGAAUAACCCAGGGAAACUUGGAUUAAUACCGCAUGUGCCCUUCGGGGGAAAGAUUUAUCGCCAUUGGAUCAACCCGCGUCUGAUUAGCUAGUUGGUGAGGUAAAGGCUCACCAAGGCGACGACCAGUAGCUGGUCUGAGAGGAUGAUCAGCCACACUGGGACUGAGACACGGCCCAGACUCCUACGGGAGGCAGCAGUGGGGAAUAUUGGACAAUGGGCGCAAGCCUGAUCCAGCCAUGCCGCGUGAGUAAUGAAGGCCUUAGGGUCGUAAAGCUCUUUCGCCGGUGAAGAUAGUGACGGUAACCGGAGAAGAAGCCCCGGCUAACUUCGUGCCAGCCGCCGCCGUAA